UCCAGAGGUUUUUUUUUUUUUUUUUUUUUUCAUUUUUUCCAGAGCAGUAUAAUAACGUACUAGUAUAUCUUAUAUAAUACAAUGUUUUGAUAUAUCAGAGUUAUCAUUGUAUAAUUGAUAUCUAUUAUAUAAUUAUAUAAUAUUGAAUAGUCAGCAUUGUGUGUGGGUGUGUGUGUGUUUGUUUACAUUGUUAUUUCCUCUGUAAAACACACACACACCCUCGGCACUGGCACGCCAAGUGAUGGGACAUCUGACCUGGUGCCACAAUGAUGGUCAUUCAGCGAGGAGAUAAUAGGCAUCUGUCCGCGGGCCGGGAUGUGCCGCCCAGCUUCUGGCAGGUAGGAAUGGAAGUGCCGGCCUGUGGAUGUAAACAUGUGAUUUCCUGCCCAGUAUAAGAGCCCAGCUGACCGGCACUGCCCAGUCCAGCAGACCAUCCACCACCAGUACCACCACCACUCCACCACAGCCGGACUGACCGCUCCACCACUCCACCACCACUCAGCACUCCAGGAUGAGAGCCGGGGUCUCUGUACUGGUCUUACUGGCGUUUGCAGGGUUGGAGAGUGUUCUCUCUGCAUCUCUGGAAGCCGUGGGAAAGAAGGGAGCACUCGAUCGCAAAGCAGAGGAGAAUGCCCACCCUCAGAGAAGAGUGCUCUCUGCAUCUCUGGAGGCAGAUGAAGACAGAACUGAGGGAAACUACGGCCCUCGACAAAGAGGUUUAGUGCUUUCUGCAUCAAUGGAGGCAGACGAAGAGAGGGAUGCUCUCAGACAGAGAGAGGGCGUGAUUAUAGAGGAUGAAACCUACCUGGAGGCUGAAAGAGAGGAGUUAGAGGAUGAGGCAGAAGCUGCAGAGCAGAGGCACGAGCACGAGGCCGAGGCUGCAGAUGUGACUCCAGAAGAGGAGGCUGAUGAUCUGACAGAAGCGGAAGUGGAAGGAGCUGCUGAGAGUCACGAGCAACGGGAAGCGAAGGAGGACAGAAAAAUGGAUGAUGAGGCUGAAGACGGGGUGGGACACGCAGCAGCUUCAGAGGAAUGAUGCGGAGGAUGCUGGGUAGAGGGGGGAACGCCUGUGCCUGGAGUCGUGUUGUCCACCACAGAAGUAAACGAGGAGUGUACUGUUCUCAAUAAAAGAACCAUUAAAUACUGUACCA
RNAcentral lists this long non-coding RNA (1151 nucleotides) under Astyanax mexicanus (Mexican tetra). RNAcentral's name for it is "lncRNA (ENSAMXG00005021261.1)". Lineage: Eukaryota; Metazoa; Chordata; Actinopteri; Characiformes; Acestrorhamphidae. The record is from RNAcentral.